Meloidogyne enterolobii is the source of this 106-nucleotide non-coding RNA. The record is from the annotation of a GenBank genome assembly. Lineage: Eukaryota; Metazoa; Nematoda; Chromadorea; Rhabditida; Meloidogynidae.
CUGAGGCAAUUUACCGCGUUGAAAGCACGCCAUCCCGUCCGAUCUGGCAAGUUAAGCAACGCUGGGCUUCCUUAGUACUUGGAACGGAGACUUUUUUUUUUUUUUU